GAUGAACGCUGGCGGCGUGCUUAACACAUGCAAGUCGAACGGUGAAGGCGGAGCUUGCUCUGCUGGAUCAGUGGCGAACGGGUGAGUAACACGUGAGCAAUCUGCCCCUGACUCUGGGAUAAGCGCUGGAAACGGCGUCUAAUACUGGAUACGAGCUGCGAAGGCAUCUUCAGCAGCUGGAAAGAAUUUCGGUCAGGGAUGAGCUCGCGGCCUAUCAGCUUGUUGGUGAGGUAAUGGCUCACCAAGGCGUCGACGGGUAGCCGGCCUGAGAGGGUGACCGGCCACACUGGGACUGAGACACGGCCCAGACUCCAACGGGAGGCAGCAGUGGGGAAUAUUGCACAAUGGGCGAAAGCCUGAUGCAGCAACGCCGCGUGAGGGACGACGGCCUUCGGGUUGUAAACCUCUUUUAGCAGGGAAGAAGCGAAAGUGACGGUACCUGCAGAAAAAGCGCCGGCUAACUACGUG
RNAcentral lists this ribosomal RNA (468 nucleotides) under uncultured bacterium. RNAcentral's name for it is "partial 16S ribosomal RNA". It matches the Rfam family "Bacterial small subunit ribosomal RNA", at positions 28 to 507 of the family's 1533-position model. The record is from RNAcentral.